UACGUAGGGGGCAAGCGUUGUUCGGAAUUACUGGGCGUAAAGGGCGCGUAGGCGGCCUGCUAAGUCGGAUGUGAAAUCCCCAGGCUCAACUUGGGAACUGCAUCCGAUACUGGAUGGCUUGAAUUCGGGAGAGGGAUGCAGAAUUCCAGGUGUAGCGGUGAAAUGCGUAGAUAUCUGGAGGAACACCGGUGGCGAAGGCGGCAUCCUGGACCAAUUCUGACGCUGAGGAGCGAAAGCCAGGGGAGCAAACGGG
This 253-nucleotide ribosomal RNA is filed under the name uncultured bacterium. RNAcentral describes it as "partial 16S ribosomal RNA". It matches the Rfam family "Bacterial small subunit ribosomal RNA", at positions 524 to 776 of the family's 1533-position model. The record is from RNAcentral.